RNAcentral lists this ribosomal RNA (394 nucleotides) under uncultured bacterium. RNAcentral's name for it is "bacterial SSU rRNA". It matches the Rfam family "Bacterial small subunit ribosomal RNA", at positions 74 to 507 of the family's 1533-position model. The record is from RNAcentral.
GUGUGGAAGUACACGGAGUGGCGGACGGCUGAGUAACGCGUAGGAAUGUACCCCAAAGUGAGGGAUAAGCACCGGAAACGGUGUCUAAUACCGCAUGUGCUCUAAGGAGUAAAGCUUCGGCGCUUUGGGAACGGCCUGCGUAUGAUUAGCUUGUUGGUGAGGUAAUGGCUCACCAAGGCGACGAUCAUUAGCUGGUCUGAGAGGAUGAUCAGCCAGACUGGGACUGAGACACGGCCCAGACUCCUACGGGAGGCAGCAGUAGGGAAUUUUCCACAAUGGGCGAAAGCCUGAUGGAGCAACGCCGCGUGCAGGAUGAAGGCCUUCGGGUUGUAAACUGCUUUUAUAAGUGAAGAUUGUGACGGUAACUUAUGAAUAAGGAUCGGCUAACUCCGUG